Molecule: long non-coding RNA, 1325 nt
Organism: Magnolia sinica
Lineage: Eukaryota; Viridiplantae; Streptophyta; Magnoliopsida; Magnoliales; Magnoliaceae
Exons: 3
Source: RefSeq, a predicted model, not a curated record
AGACAUCUUCAAUUCACCCUCCGUCGGGGAGUGAUAGGAGGGCAUCCGAGGCUCGACCUGAUAAGUAACCUCCAGACUCUAUCAAGAGUAUCUGCUGGCAAAUGGAUGGAGGGUUGCUUGGGAAAGCUCACCAAUCUUAGAAAAUUAAAAAUACUUUUUGAAACAGGAGCGGAUGUUGAGUUAUUCCAUGAGGCGAUUGUCAACCUGAACUGCCUCCAUCAUCUGUCGGUGUUGAUGUCAGUAGAGGCACGUGACAAUGAAGACAGAUACUUAUUUUUGUCGUUACCUAAUCUUUCACAUCUUCUCAAGUUAAGUAAGUUGCAUUUGGGAGGAAAGUUACAGACGUUACCUGAAUUUCCAACAAAUCUCACCAAACUCACCUUGGAAGAGUCCUGGUUAGUGGAAGAUCCAAUGGCGACGUUGGAGAAGCUGAAAAACCUUCGCAUUCUCAGAUUGUCAUCUGAUUCAUAUAUACGAAAGGAAAUGACUUGCUCUGCACAAGGGUUUCCUCGACUCGAAUCCUUAUAUCUUUAUAAAUUAGAUGAAUUAGAGGAGUGGAGAGUUGAUGAAGGAGCUAUGCCAAGUCUUUUACAUUUACAGAUCUAUGCCUGCAACCAAUUGAAGAAGCUUCCAGAAGGAAUGCAACACGUGACUACCCUCAAGAAAUUGGAGUUGUGGUUUAUGCCCUAUGAAUUCAAAGCAAGGGUUCGAGAAGAUGGGGGAGAGGAUUGGCAUAAGAUCCGGCACAUACCCUCCAUCGACAUACACGAUAUAUACUGAGAAGCUAAGCAGUCGGAUUUUAAUUUCUAUCAUUAUGAGAGGGCAACCAUCGACAAUUAGACAGGAGCUUUGACUAAGAUUUUUGGAGCAUCUUUCGUCCAUGGCAGAGUGUAUUAAAUCAAAGUUUGGAUUUCAGAGCUACUAGCCCCACUUGUUUCAUGCAUCAAGACACUUGGACAGAAUGCAUUUGAAGCCUAUACUUCCUGUUUUAUCCAUUAUUAGAAUUUAAAGUUAGGCAUUUUUCUCACAACAGAGAUUGCACUGACCUGCAUAUGCUAAGUGACUAGAUGAAGUGAAGAAUGGUGGAAUGGUGACUAGACAAUGAUGAGAUGUUUGGAUGAUCAUUUGUAUUUGUAACUCAAGGAUUCAUGUACUUUCUGUUUGAGAUCUUUCAAUAAGGAACCAUGCACUAAUAUUCGUUACAUGCUCUGCAUUUUAAUUUGGGGAAAUUGUUCAUUAGUGUUUGACUUAUUUCACUGUAUGCAUUGUUUGCCUGUAAUAUGUUAGUUGAAAACUGAAAUAAGAAGCAAUUUCUUUAUAGUGUA